GACCCGGUGAAGAGGGCAGGGAGCUGGGGCAGCCUGCUGUGCGGAGCUGGGGGAGGAGGAGGGAGCCCUGGGGGACAGACAGAAGGACCAUCGAAGGAGAAACCCUGCUGGCCUCGGGACCUGGAGGAAAGAACCAGGGCCCGUGCUCCUUGGGCCAGGAUCCGGCGAUUGGACGGAACCUCUCGGAUUCCCCAGUGCUGUGAAAUCCACUUGGGGCCAUCACACCCUUCAUUGCUGUGCUCCCUGGCAGAACUCGAAUGCAGCGUGAGCUGGGCACUUUUCCCAGGGUUUGCUCUAGGUCUGGGUCUCCCAUCAGCUCCCCCGGAGCAGAGCCUGAGGCAAGGAUUCUUGUUCGGGGGCAUCUUCCUCUCAGCACCGUGCUUUGGGAAUCGAGUGAUGGUGCUGAGUGAACCCCUGAGUGAACAUCUGUGGCUUCCUCCCACCUCGUCUCUGGAUGCACUCCUGUUCGAAUGGUACCUGAUCUUCUUCUGUGUGAGAAUUUUCUCUGGGCACAGUCUGUCCAGGAGGGGACACGAGUACCCCUAAUUUCACUAAGUGUGGCUGAAUUAUCUUCCAGGGUGUCUGUACAUGCUUGUCCCCUCCCCACGGUGGCGUGCUCAAUGGUGGCUCCCCACAGAUAUGUCCGUGUCCUAAUUCCCGGAGCCUUUGGGUCUCAUGUAGCCAAUGAUGUGAAAAAGUGAAGGAUGCUGAGAGGAGAUCAUCCAGAUGUCUUAGAGGAUAAAAAUGAGCGGGCAGAUGAAGAGAUACUCAGGGUGAGGUUUGGAAGGUGCACCAGGCCCACCCCAUGGAUGUGGCUCAGAGAGCCUGGGAAACGUGAGGUCUGUGACCUGGAUCAGGCCCAGAGAGACCUGAGCAGGAGGCGUGUGAAGCCCCUGCGCCUGUGCGAGGAGGGAAGCUGUUUCAGGGAAUUUGCCUUUCUUUCCCUGUAGUUUCAGACUAGCUGAUAAAUUACCUAAAAUGUUACCACAAGAUGCACAAUGUAACCAUCACUCAUUAU
Long non-coding RNA from Homo sapiens (human), 1018 nucleotides. NCBI's taxonomy places the organism in Eukaryota, Metazoa, Chordata, Mammalia, Primates, Hominidae. The record is from Ensembl.